Molecule: ribosomal RNA, 488 nt
Filed under: uncultured soil bacterium
Lineage: Bacteria
Description: bacterial SSU rRNA
Rfam family: Bacterial small subunit ribosomal RNA
Source: RNAcentral
AGAUUGAACGCUGGCGGCAUGCCUAACACAUGCAAGUCGAACGGCAGCGCGGGUAGCAAUACCUGGCGGCGAGUGGCGGACGGGUGAGGAAUACAUAGGAAUCUACCCUGUCGUGGGGGAUAACGUAGGGAAACUUACGCUAAUACCGCAUACGACCGAGAGGUGAAAGCGGUGGACCGCAAGGCGUCGCGCGGCUGGAUGAGCCUAUGUCCGAUUAGCUAGUUGGCGGGGUAAGAGCCCACCAAGGCGACGAUCGGUAGCUGGUCUGAGAGGAUGAUCAGCCACACUGGGACUGAGACACGGCCCAGACUCCUACGGGAGGCAGCAGUGGGAAUAUUGGACAAUGGGCGCAAGCCUGAUCCAGCAAUGCCGCGUGUGUGAAGAAGGCCUUCGGUUGUAAAGCACUUUUGGUAACGGAAGAAAAGCCGUUAGGUUAAUACCCGAUGUGAUGACGGUACGUAAGAAUAAGCACGCUAACUCGUAGCCAG